Molecule: ribosomal RNA, 984 nt
Filed under: uncultured bacterium
Lineage: Bacteria
Description: bacterial SSU rRNA
Rfam family: Bacterial small subunit ribosomal RNA
Source: RNAcentral
GUGCCAGCAGCCGCGGUAAUACGGAGGAUCCGAGCGUUAUCCGGAUUUAUUGGGUUUAAAGGGUGCGUAGGUGGUUUGAUAAGUCAGCGGUGAAAGUUUGCAGCUUAACUGUAAAAAUGCCGUUGAAACUGUCGGACUUGAGUGUAAAUGAGGUAGGCGGAAUGCGUGGUGUAGCGGUGAAAUGCAUAGAUAUCACGCAGAACUCCGAUUGCGAAGGCAGCUUACUAAGCUACAACUGACACUGAAGCACGAAAGCGUGGGGAUCAAACAGGAUUAGAUACCCUGGUAGUCCACGCAGUAAACGAUGAUUACUAGCUGUUUGCGAUACACAGUAAGCGGCACAGCGAAAGCGUUAAGUAAUCCACCUGGGGAGUACGCCGGCAACGGUGAAACUCAAAGGAAUUGACGGGGGCCCGCACAAGCGGAGGAACAUGUGGUUUAAUUCGAUGAUACGCGAGGAACCUUACCCGGGUUUGAACGUAGGGAGACAGGGGUGGAAACAUCCUUUUCAGCAAUGACUGCCUACGAGGUGCUGCAUGGUUGUCGUCAGCUCGUGCCGUGAGGUGUCGGCUUAAGUGCCAUAACGAGCGCAACCCUUAUUUCCAGUUACUAACAGGUCAAGCUGAGGACUCUGGAGAGACUGCCAGCGUAAGCUGUGAGGAAGGUGGGGAUGACGUCAAAUCAGCACGGCCCUUACAUCCGGGGCGACACACGUGUUACAAUGGUAAGGACAAAGGGCAGCUACCGGGCGACCGGAUGCGAAUCUCUAAACCUUAUCUCAGUUCGGAUCGGAGUCUGCAACUCGACUCCGUGAAGCUGGAUUCGCUAGUAAUCGCGCAUCAGCCAUGGCGCGGUGAAUACGUUCCCGGGCCUUGUACACACCGCCCGUCAAGCCAUGGGAGCCGGGGGUACCUGAAGUUCGUAACCGCAAGGAUCGACCUAGGGUAAAACUGGUGACUGGGGCUAAGUCGUAACAAGGUAGCC